CUUAUUACUGUCUGCACAUCCUACUUGGAUAACUGUGGUAAUUCUAGAGCUAAUACAUGCAUWARAGCAUCUGACCUCACGGGAAGAGUGCAUUUAUUAGAACAAAACCAAGCGGCUUCGGCUGUUUCUGGUUGACUCAUAGUAACUGAGCUGAUCGCAUGGUCUUGCACCGGCGACGUGUCUUUCAAGUAUCUGCCGUAUCAACUUUCGAUGGUAGUGUAUCUGACUACCAUGGUGAUCACGCGUAACGGAGAAUAAGGGUUCGGCUCCGGAGAGUUCGCCUGAGAAAUCGCGAACACAUCUAAGGAAGGCAGCAGGCGCGAAAAUUACCCACUCUCAGCACGAGGAGGUAGUGACGAAAAAUAACGAGACCGUUCUCUUAUGAGGCCGGUCAUCGGAAUGGGUACAAUUUAAACCCUUUAACGAGUAUCUAUGAGAGGGCAAGUCUGGUGCCAGCAGCCGCGGUAAUUCCAGCUCUCAAAGUGCAUAGAAUUAUUGCUGCGGUUAAAAAGCUCGUAGUUGGAUCUGUGCCAUAGGACGUGGUCCACCUUCGGGUGCGUACUACGCUCCUAGGCUUUUUGCUGGUUUUCCCGUCGUAGCCUUCACUGGUUGCGGCGGGUGGCUGGCGAGUUUACUUUGAGAAAAUCAGAGUGCUCAAUACAGGCGUAUCGCUUGAAUGAUUGUGCAUGGAAUAAUAGAAAAGGAUUUCGGUCCUCUUUUAUUGGUUUUGUGGACUGAGAUAAUGGUUAACAGGGACAAACGGGGGCAUUCGUAUCUCUGCGUGAGAGGUGAAAUUCUUGGACCGUAGAGAGACGCCCUACUGCGAAAGCAUUUGCCAAGAAUGUCUUCAUUAAUCAAGAACGAA
Molecule: ribosomal RNA, 865 nt
Filed under: Nematoda environmental sample
Lineage: Eukaryota; Metazoa; Nematoda
Description: SSU rRNA
Rfam family: Eukaryotic small subunit ribosomal RNA
Source: RNAcentral